GCGGGAAUAGCUCAGUGGUAGAGCACAACCUUGCCAAGGUUGGGGUCGCGAGUUCGAUCCUCGUUUCCCGCU
Molecule: transfer RNA, 72 nt
Filed under: Sodalis-like endosymbiont of Proechinophthirus fluctus
Lineage: Bacteria; Pseudomonadati; Pseudomonadota; Gammaproteobacteria; Enterobacterales; Bruguierivoracaceae
Also listed under: 1 other name
Rfam family: tRNA
About the family: Transfer RNA (tRNA) molecules are approximately 80 nucleotides in length. Their secondary structure includes four short double-helical elements and three loops (D, anti-codon, and T loops). Further hydrogen bonds mediate the characteristic L-shaped molecular structure. tRNAs have two regions of fundamental functional importance: the anti-codon, which is responsible for specific mRNA codon recognition, and the 3' end, to which the tRNAs corresponding amino acid is attached (by aminoacyl-tRNA synthetases). tRNAs cope with the degeneracy of the genetic code in two manners: having more than one tRNA (with a specific anti-codon) for a particular amino acid; and 'wobble' base-pairing, i.e. permitting non-standard base-pairing at the 3rd anti-codon position.
Source: Rfam by way of RNAcentral